This 447-nucleotide ribosomal RNA is filed under the name uncultured bacterium. Its description in RNAcentral is "bacterial SSU rRNA". It matches the Rfam family "Bacterial small subunit ribosomal RNA", at positions 355 to 825 of the family's 1533-position model. The record is from RNAcentral.
UCGGGAAUUUUGGGCAAUGGGGGAAACCCUGACCCAGCAACGCCGCGUGAAGGAUGAAGUAUUUCGGUAUGUAAACUUCGAAAGAAUAGGAAGAAUAAAUGACGGUACUAUUUAUAAGGUCCGGCUAACUACGUGCCAGCAGCCGCGGUAAUACGUAGGGACCAAGCGUUGUUCGGAUUUACUGGGCGUAAAGGGCGCGUAGGCGGCAUGACAAGUCACUUGUGAAAUCUCUGGGCUUAACCCAGAACGGCCAAGUGAUACUGUCGCGCUAGAGUACAGAAAGGGCAAUCGGAAUUCUUGGUGUAGCGGUGAAAUGCGUAGAUAUCAAGAGGAACACCUGAGGCGAAGGCGGGUUGCUAGGCUGAUACUGACGCUGAGGCGCGAAAGCUAGGGUAGCAAACGGGAUUAGAUACCCUAGUAGUCCCUGAGCGGGCUGGCAAGGCGCAU